This 107-nucleotide ribosomal RNA is filed under the name Jaculus jaculus (lesser Egyptian jerboa). The record is from RNAcentral. Lineage: Eukaryota; Metazoa; Chordata; Mammalia; Rodentia; Dipodidae.
GUCUAUGGCCAUGCUACCCAGAUGCACCCAAUCUUGUCUGACCUUUGGAACUAAGCAGGGUAGACUCUGGUUAGCACUUACAUAGGAAAGAUCAGAAGUCAAGAACA